CAGCCGUAAACUAUGCUCGCUAGGUGUCAGGCAUGGCGCGACCGUGUCUGGUGCCGCAGGGAAGCCGUGAAGCGAGCCACCUGGGAAGUACGGCCGCAAGGCUGAAACUUAAAGGAAUUGGCGGGGGAGCACAACAACGGGUGGAGCCUGCGGUUUAAUUGGACUCAACGCCGGACAACUCACCGGGGACGACAGCAAUAUGUAGGCCAGGCUGAAGACCUUGCCUGAAUCGCUGAGAGGAGGUGCAUGGCG
This 252-nucleotide ribosomal RNA is filed under the name uncultured archaeon. RNAcentral describes it as "partial 16S ribosomal RNA". It matches the Rfam family "Archaeal small subunit ribosomal RNA", at positions 748 to 999 of the family's 1478-position model. The record is from RNAcentral.